Long non-coding RNA from Ziziphus jujuba (common jujube), 735 nucleotides. RefSeq lists it as uncharacterized. The record is from RefSeq and is a predicted model, not a curated record. Lineage: Eukaryota; Viridiplantae; Streptophyta; Magnoliopsida; Rosales; Rhamnaceae. The transcript is spliced from 3 exons.
CUUCUUCUUCUUCUUCUUCUUCUUUCUUUCUUUCCUUCUUCCUUCUUCCUUCCCACCUGCCGUCCCUCUCUCUCUCCCGUGUUCAUAUUUCUCCGGCCACCACAAGCCACACGGGCCGGCCACCAUCCAAGACCACACGCCGGCAAGCUCACCAGCCAAAUUUGGCGGCCGGGCGGUCGGCGACGCUCCCAGAUCGGGCCGGUGAAGUCACGACGGCGGGUUGAAUUUUUUCCGGCGAUUCUCGCCGUUUUCGGCCAGCCCAGUCCAAAUUGCCACCCCUCUUCCCCUAUUUUGGGUCCUCUGAGUUCAAAUAUGGCCUCCAAUUUCCAAAAUUCAAAGCGGUUUGCGAGAUACGAGGAGAUCAAGACCAGCCGAAGCUUUCCAGCCAAAUUCCGGCCACCACCGGCGGAAUUGGGGUCAAUGGAGACCGGUAAUGUGAUCCUCGUUCCACAAGCUUCGAUUCGGAGCACGUGUACGUUGUGGAAUCGAUCAUAUGGAGGAUCUUAGGUUAAUUGCAUGCUCCAGGUCCAGGUUGGGUGACGUCGAUCAUCCGGGGUGAGCCCGACGUCUCAGUUCAUUGCCGGAAGUCCAAGGAGCAUCUCCUUUCUUUUUUCCUCUCCACCCUAUAUUACUUCUUUGUCGGUCAUUGUAUUAAUUUCAUAUUUAUUUGUAUAAUGUUCUGUAUACUGUAUUGGACAUUUAUGUAUUAAUUAUGCACUGGAUUACUGUUGUUCA